This 416-nucleotide unclassified non-coding RNA is filed under the name soil metagenome. Its description in RNAcentral is "partial contains 5.8S ribosomal RNA, internal transcribed spacer 2, and large subunit ribosomal RNA". The stretch from base 1 to 120 matches the Rfam family "5.8S ribosomal RNA", at positions 35 to 154 of the family's 154-position model. The record is from RNAcentral.
GAUGAAGAACGUAGUGAAAUGCGAUAAGUAAUGUGAAUUGCAGAAUUCAGUGAAUCAUCGAAUCUUUGAACGCACCUUGCACUCCUUGGUAUUCCGAGGAGUACGCCUGUUCGAGUGUUAUGAAGCUCUCAAAACGCAAUUGGCUUAAAACCUGAUUGUUGUUUUGGAUUUGAACUUUGCCGUGUUAUAACGGCUGGUUUUGAAAGUAUUAGCUGGUACUAGAACGAAUUGGUUCUACUCAACGUGAUAAUUAUCUGAUCGUUGAGGACAUUCCUUUCACGAGGAAUGGCCAUAGUAAAUUCAAUGGACUGCUUCUAAUCUGGCUUUAAUUCUUUAUUGGAUUAACCACUUUUCAAAUCUGACCUCGAAUCAGGUGGGACUACCCGCUGAACUUAAGCAUAUCAAUAAGCGGAGGA